RNAcentral lists this ribosomal RNA (292 nucleotides) under uncultured bacterium. RNAcentral describes it as "partial 16S ribosomal RNA". It matches the Rfam family "Bacterial small subunit ribosomal RNA", at positions 505 to 796 of the family's 1533-position model. The record is from RNAcentral.
GUGCCAGCCGCCGCGGUAAUACGGAGGGUGCAAGCGUUAUCCGGAUUCACUGGGUUUAAAGGGUGCGUAGGCGGACAAGUAAGUCAGUGGUGAAAUCUCUGGGCUUAACUCAGAAACUGCCGUUGAUACUAUUUGUCUUGAAUAUCAUGGAGGUAAGCGGAAUAUGUCAUGUAGCGGUGAAAUGCUUAGAUAUGACAUAGAACACCGAUAGCGAAGGCAGCUUACUACAUGUUAAUUGACGCUGAGGCACGAAAGCGUGGGGAGCAAACAGGAUUAGAAACCCCCGUAGUCC